AGUUUGAUCCUGGCUCAGAACGACGCUGGCGGCAUGCCUAACACAUGCAAGUCGAACGGGAUCCAGGCUUCGGCCUGGUGAGAGUGGCGGACGGGUGAGUAACACGUGGGAACCUGCCUUUGGUUCGGGAUAACCGCGGGAAACUGCGGCUAAUACCGGAUGCUCCCGAGAGGGGAAAGAUUUAUCGCCAGAAGAGGGGCCCGCGUCCGAUUAGGUAGUUGGUGAGGUAAUGGCUCACCAAGCCGACGAUCGGUAGCUGGUCUGAGAGGAUGAUCAGCCACACUGGGACUGAGAUACGGCCCAGACUCCUACGGGAGGCAGCAGUGGGGAAUAUUGGACAAUGGGGGCAACCCUGAUCCAGCAAUGCCGCGUGAGUGAUGAAGGCCUUAGGGUUGUAAAGCUCUUUUGCCAGGGAAGAUGAUGACUGUACCUGGAGAAUAAGCCCCGGCUAACUUCGUG
This 459-nucleotide ribosomal RNA is filed under the name uncultured bacterium. RNAcentral describes it as "bacterial SSU rRNA". It matches the Rfam family "Bacterial small subunit ribosomal RNA", at positions 10 to 507 of the family's 1533-position model. The record is from RNAcentral.